AAAAAUCGAUUAAUUCAUGUUAUAUGAUUCACUUGGUCCGAAUUAUUAAUUUCACUCAUUUGAUCAUUCAUCAAAACAAUAUUUAUGGGUCCAAAAUUUUCAAUCUAAUCUUUAUUUAAUAUAUUUUUUAUUAUAUCAAUUUCAUAUUUGUGAUAAGCUUAGUCGAAAAUUGAGCUUGCUUUCUUCUCGCAUUCGACGUGUCCUCGCUGUCUUUUUCAUGAUCCGACUCCUCAAGCACAUGCCUUGGAUAUAAUACUAAUCCUUCCCUGAUGCAUCUGUAUCCAUCCCUUAUUCUGCGUUACAUAUGUAUACUCCAUUAAAGAAAGUGAAAUGACAGCAUACAGCUUCGCAUGCGUCGGUUCGUCUUCUCGUCUCAUCAGAGUCGAGACCUGUUCGUGGAGAUGACCGCUUGUUUUUGGGCUUGCGGAGCAUAGAAAGAACACCUCUUUUGUCGACUGGUUUCAUGUCAUCGUUCGACAGGUGUCUUAUUUCUGCGUACGUGCUGCUGUGCGUAGCCAAGCGCCUCCAAUGUCCGCCCUCGUCCACGUAGCGUCAUGCUUGAGCCAUGCCUGCCGCCAUCGCCUACAUGGCUUCACUUACAGAUCGGAGGUUGAAUACUGCUUUGCUUAGUUAAGGAGUCACAAGAUAAUGCCGCCCAGCAUCAGCAGUGGAGAGGAGGAAUUCUUAGCAGCAUCCGAGAAGGCGCCCAGCAUCAGCAGUGAGCACGACUACAGACGUCCGUUGGCUAGCGAUGCUCGUCGGGCGAUUGACUACUUCACCGGCAAGGAGGAGACAAGAAAAUGGAUCGCGGAGACCGGAGAGUCCACGCCGGUACAUUAUGUCCGAACCCGUGUCGUUUCUUUGGUUGAUGCUCUCCCUCCAUGAACAUAUUGCUUGGAGCAGGCUAAGUUAGGACAAACGGAUGAGGCAGCGAGACAGCAGCGUGAAGAGGCAAGGCUGAGGGAGGCGGAGGCGGAGGAUAGGCCGAGGGCGGAGGAUAAGAGAAGGAAGGCCGAGCCAGGACUCAGUACAGAGGCUCAGAAGGGUUAAUUACAUAUUAUUACCCGUUAUAGUUAAUUAGUCUUAGUCCUUAUAUUUUAAAUAAUUAUAUUAACACUCCUAUAUUUACUCUAAUAUCACCUAUUUUAUU
This 1150-nucleotide long non-coding RNA is filed under the name Musa acuminata (dwarf banana). RNAcentral's name for it is "long non-coding RNA (MACU_LNC005009)". The record is from RNAcentral. Lineage: Eukaryota; Viridiplantae; Streptophyta; Magnoliopsida; Zingiberales; Musaceae.